Gasterosteus aculeatus aculeatus (three-spined stickleback) is the source of this 2078-nucleotide long non-coding RNA. The record is from Ensembl. Lineage: Eukaryota; Metazoa; Chordata; Actinopteri; Perciformes; Gasterosteidae.
CUUUACGAGGAGCACAUGAACGCAGCACCUGCAAAAGCACCGUGGUCCGUCCUGCUAAUUAGGAACACCUGGCACCGCGAGGAGGUCGAGGACCAAACGACACCAGCCAGACAUCCCCGGAGAACUGGCGUUUGAAGUCAUCUUAAGGAAGAUAUGAAGACGGACCCCCCCACCCCUCCAAAAAAGAAGAGAAAAAAACGGCUCCUCAAUCGGUUAGCCCCCGUGUUGGUGAAAGUAUCGGAAUUUGAGUCGGACUGCAGUGAACUGUCAGUGGGGAAAGGCUCCUCUGCAUCGAGAACUGUGCAGCCACUGAAGGGGAAGACCAAUAACGCAGCAGUUUAAGCCUCAGGCUAGACGGAGCAAGUUCAACCAUCACGUCUGGGGGCGCAACAGGAAAGCAACGUUUUUGAGACUGCAGUCCAGCUUUGGAAACGUGCGUGAAGUCGGGAUGGUUAACAUGUGACUGGACUGACACACUUUGAGGCCAUUUUAUCUGCCGUGGAUGGAAGCAGUCCUGUGGCAUGUGUCUAAUCUGUUUUCAUUUUCUAAUUUCCUCGGUGUACAGAGAUGGUCUCAAGAGAGUGAGCACUUGUCAGUCUCAGUGUGUGGAAAUACCAGGUUCCACCAGAAUGGAGCAGUAAUGCCAUAUUGCACAACCUUGUACAGAAGAUCUAUUGGUACUUCCUAGUUGGAUCAAUGUAGUGGCAAUAAUGGAUCUAUGGGUUGGAUCCUCUCUUAGAUGAUUUUCCUUUAUUAUUGCCACAUUGUUGAAAUGUGCUACACAAAUAAACUUGAUUUUUAGUGAUAUGUUAAGCAAUUUGCUGUUUUUCUUACUUGAUUUGUACAUAGUACUGUGAUAAUCCGUGUUUGUAUGUUAUAUAUGCCACAAAGGAGUGAUCAAAUCAUACCAGUCACAUUUCAAAAGGGCCAGUCGGACAUUAACAGUUCUCCUUUACAGCUAUUGGACUGAAAUGUAAAAUGAACUGCCCUACCAGAAAGUGCUAAUUGGCCAGCUCUACUUUAACACCCCCCCCCCCCUAAUAAGAAUGAUGGACUCUAAGUGGGGAGCAGUCAGACCCUGAACAAAUAAGAGUUUGUAGCUAUGAAUGCUGUGUGUCUAAUGGGGGGGGUGGGGGGGGGCACAGAUUGCUAGCCUACCCCUUACCUGGCUCUCAUACGUGGUGCAAGACAUCGUCACCUACGUUGCCUACGACGAUUGUCGUCUUGUAUCCUGACACGAGCUACAUGAAGACUCUAUUUAUUCUCCAAACCCCCUGAUUUUUAUACAUGUAGUUUUUAAUUCCAACAGACUCCACCCAAUCUUUGCACAGCUCUCUCUGCAGCCAGAAAAGAACGGCAUAACGAUGUGUUUUAGUAAUGCUCCUCCUGAAACAAUUGCCAAUUGCUACAGUUGCCAGGUGCCACCUGUGCUCAAUCUAAAUUCUGAUUAUUCUCUGUAUAGCAGCUAAUGCUGAUAGUGAUAAUUUGUAUUACCAAAGAAAUGUAUAAUGCAUAAUAUAAAAACUGUUUUCUCAAAUUCUGGUCUAAAAGGAUAUGUAUGCAGGUACACAUCAGUGUAUUUGCCAAAGGAUAGACUAAGGAGGAUCCGCAGGUGGGCUCAAUAAAAGCAUAUUAUUGACCACAAAAAAAAACAAUCAAAUUAAAGGAAAUGACACCUUUUCAGAAAGCCAGUGAGGGGUCUGUCAGCCUGAUGGAAUCCUCAUUUCUCUGCACCAUUUGGCAGCAAGUUGCACCUCUCUCUCCCUCGUUCUGCCUUAAUGGCCAUGCUGACAGUGACAUGAUAUUCCACAUAAAAGGAGCCAAGAGGAGCGAGACGGGGUGCAAAACCUCCAUUAACGUGUUUAGAAGUUGUGUAGCUUUAAGGCCUUGUCGGGGUUGGCCAUUAGGGCCAUGCCUCUUUGGCACUUCUUAACUUUGUGCUAAUGUAGUUAAGACGAUUUUGUUUAGUUUAAGUGCUCCGUGCAUGUUGCCAUGAAGCGUUUUACAAGAACAAGUUUUGUGAAGAAAUGUGUUGCGUCCAGAUUUAGAAGAUGAAAAUUGUUGUUAUGAUUAUGAAU